GACGAACGCUGGCGGCAGGCCUAACACAUGCAAGUCGAACGGAUCCUUCGGGAUUAGUGGCGGACGGGUGAGUAACGCGUGGGAACAUACCCUUUGGUACGGAAUAGCCUCGGGAAACUGGGAGUAAUACCGUAUGUGGUCGAGAGACGAAAGAUUUAUCGCCAAAGGAUUGGCCCGCGUUGGAUUAGGUAGUUGGUGGGGUAAUGGCCUACCAAGCCGACGAUCCAUAGCUGGUUUGAGAGGAUGAUCAGCCACACUGGGACUGAGACACGGCCCAGACUCCCACGGGAGGCAGCAGUGGGGAAUCUUAGACAAUGGGGGAAACCCUGAUCUAACCAUGCCGCGUGAUCGAUGAAGGCCUUAGGGUUGUAAAGAUCUUUCAGGUGGGAAGAUAAUGACUGUACCACCAGAAGAAGCCCCGGCUAACUCCGUGCCAGCCGCCGCGGUAA
RNAcentral lists this ribosomal RNA (449 nucleotides) under uncultured bacterium. RNAcentral describes it as "partial 16S ribosomal RNA". It matches the Rfam family "Bacterial small subunit ribosomal RNA", at positions 28 to 523 of the family's 1533-position model. The record is from RNAcentral.